Molecule: long non-coding RNA, 456 nt
Organism: Lagenorhynchus albirostris (white-beaked dolphin)
Lineage: Eukaryota; Metazoa; Chordata; Mammalia; Artiodactyla; Delphinidae
Exons: 2
Source: RefSeq, a predicted model, not a curated record
UGUACCUAUGCUUAAAUAAACUUUGCUUUGUGCUUAAGCUUAACGGGGUAGUUUGCAAUUCUUUGCUUACUAUCGUGAACCGAGAUUGCUGGUCCGGGCCUUCCGUUGACCUCCUCGGUUCAAGCUGUUUUGUUAUAACGUACGUCCACCCCGUGACACUGCUCUUACCGUCCACCCCGUGACACUGCUCUUACCGUGAGUCGAAUCCGCAACGGUACGUUUGGGCCACGGCCUAGUAGCUCCCCCGGCUUCCUGAUCAGAGGUUGAAGUGUGGCACAGUGACUGGAGCCGAACAGCCGACUUGGACCAUGAGGCACAGGGCCUCCCAUUAGGAUGGUGGAUAAAUGGGAUAGACAUCUGGAUCCUUGAUGACUGUGGAGCCACGCUAUCAGGCUGGCCUGCCGCACUAUGGGCUGCAUACAUGUGUCAAAAGAGAAAUACAUUUCUGUCUUUUAA